This 490-nucleotide ribosomal RNA is filed under the name uncultured bacterium. RNAcentral describes it as "partial 16S ribosomal RNA". It matches the Rfam family "Bacterial small subunit ribosomal RNA", at positions 30 to 507 of the family's 1533-position model. The record is from RNAcentral.
AUUGAACGCUGGCGGCAGGCCUAACACAUGCAAGUCGAACGGUAACAGGAAGCAGCUUGCUGCUUUGCUGACGAGUGGCGGACGGGUGAGUAAUGUCUGGGAAACUGCCCGAUGGAGGGGGAUAACUACUGGAAACGGUAGCUAAUACCGCAUAACGUCGCAAGACCAAAGAGGGGGACCUUAGGGCCUCUUGCCAUCGGAUGUGCCCAGAUGGGAUUAGCUAGUAGGUGGGGUAACGGCUCACCUAGGCGACGAUCCCUAGCUGGUCUGAGAGGAUGACCAGCCACACUGGAACUGAGACACGGUCCAGACUCCUACGGGAGGCAGCAGUGGGGAAUAUUGCACAAUGGGCGCAAGCCUGAUGCAGCCAUGCCGCGUGUAUGAAGAAGGCCUUCGGGUUGUAAAGUACUUUCAGCGGGGAGGAAGGGAGUAAAGUUAAUACCUUUGCUCAUUGACGUUACCCGCAGAAGAAGCACCGGCUAACCCCGUG